UGGUAACGAGAUUGCUUUCUUGG
RNAcentral lists this small nuclear RNA (23 nucleotides) under Arabidopsis thaliana (thale cress). Its description in RNAcentral is "snRNA_08869". The record is from RNAcentral. Lineage: Eukaryota; Viridiplantae; Streptophyta; Magnoliopsida; Brassicales; Brassicaceae.